UACGUAGGGUGCGAGCGUUGUUCGGAAUUACUGGGCGUAAAGGGCUCGUAGGCGGCCAACUAAGUCCGACGUGAAAUCCCAAGGCUUAACCUUGGAACUGCGUCGGAUACUGGAUGGCUUGAAUUCGGGAGAGGGAUGCAGAAUUCCAGGUGUAGCGGUGAAAUGCGUAGAUAUCUGGAGGAAUACCGGUGGCGAAGGCGGCAUCCUGGACCGACAUUGACGCUGAUGAGCGAAAGCUAGGGGAGCAAACGGG
Molecule: ribosomal RNA, 253 nt
Filed under: uncultured bacterium
Lineage: Bacteria
Description: partial 16S ribosomal RNA
Rfam family: Bacterial small subunit ribosomal RNA
Source: RNAcentral